GCUGGCGUAGCUCAGCCGGCAGAGCACCCGCCUUGUAAGCGGAAGGUCGCGGGUUCGACUCCCGCCGCCAGCUCCA
This 76-nucleotide transfer RNA is filed under the name Deltaproteobacteria bacterium 13_1_20CM_2_69_21. RNAcentral describes it as "tRNA-Thr". It matches the Rfam family "tRNA". Rfam says of the family: Transfer RNA (tRNA) molecules are approximately 80 nucleotides in length. Their secondary structure includes four short double-helical elements and three loops (D, anti-codon, and T loops). The record is from RNAcentral. RNAcentral also lists the same sequence under 6 other names. Lineage: Bacteria; Deltaproteobacteria.